CCCUUAGACGUUCUGGGCCGCACGCGCGCUACACUGACCAGUGCAACAAGCAUCCGUCCUUGGCCGACAGGCCCGGGCAAUCUUUGAACGCUGGUCGUGAUGGGGAUAGACUUUUGCAAUUUUUGGUCUUCAACGAGGAAUUCCUAGUAAACGCAUGUCAUCAACUUGCAUUGAUUACGUCCCUGCCCUUUGUACACACCGCCCGUCGCACCUACCGAUUGAAUGGUCCGGUGAAGCCUCCGGAUUGGCGCGCACCUCGGUGCCGCCGAGAAGUUGGCUAAACCUUACCAUUUAGAGGAAGGUGAANUCGUAACA
Molecule: ribosomal RNA, 315 nt
Filed under: uncultured eukaryote
Lineage: Eukaryota
Description: partial 18S ribosomal RNA
Rfam family: Eukaryotic small subunit ribosomal RNA
Source: RNAcentral